UGGGGAAUAUUGCACAAUGGGCGCAAGCCUGAUGCAGCCAUGCCGCGUGUAUGAAGAAGGCCUUCGGGUUGUAAAGUACUUUCAGCGAGGAGGAAGGCGUUGUGGUUAAUAACCGCAACGAUUGACGUUACUCGCAGAAGAAGCACCGGCUAACUCCGUGCCAGCAGCCGCGGUAAUACGGAGGGUGCAAGCGUUAAUCGGAAUUACUGGGCGUAAAGCGCACGCUGGCGGUCUGUCAAGUCGGAUGUGAAAUCCCCGGGCUCAACCUGGGAACUGCAUCCGAAACUGGCAGGCUAGAGUCUUGUAGAGGGGGGUAGAAUUCCAGGUGUAGCGGUGAAAUGCGUAGAGAUCUGGAGGAAUACCGGUGGCGAAGGCGGCCCCCUGGACAAAGACUGACGCUCAGGUGCGAAAGCGUGGGGAGCAAACA
This 427-nucleotide ribosomal RNA is filed under the name uncultured bacterium. Its description in RNAcentral is "partial 16S ribosomal RNA". It matches the Rfam family "Bacterial small subunit ribosomal RNA", at positions 355 to 774 of the family's 1533-position model. The record is from RNAcentral.